Molecule: RNA transcript, 1361 nt
Organism: Mus pahari (shrew mouse)
Lineage: Eukaryota; Metazoa; Chordata; Mammalia; Rodentia; Muridae
Gene: Yipf1
Gene name: Yip1 domain family member 1
Exons: 10
Source: RefSeq, a predicted model, not a curated record
UCUCCGGCUUCCGGGAUUGGGCUGACCGGCUACCAGUGCAGAGCAUCCCGGGCCCCAACAUUUGGACAGCUGGACCCUCUUCCUGAGAGACCCUGGAACAUUUUCUUCCUCAGGGGAGAGGAAGCCUCUGGCUGAAUGGCAGCUGUGGAUGACUUGAGGUUCGAAGAGUUUGGCGAUGGAGCCACACUGUUAGCAAACCCGGAUGCUACCACGAUAAACAUCGAGGACCCCAGUGUAUCUUUCGGCCACCAACCCAGACCCCCCGGGAGCGUGGGGCGAGAAGAGGAUGAGGAGCUGCUGGGGAACAAUGACUCUGACGAGACCGAGUUACUUGCCGGUCAGAAGAAAAGUUCUCCCUUCUGGACAUUCGAAUACUAUCAGACGUUCUUUGAUGUGGACACUUACCAGGUCUUUGACAGAAUAAAAGGGUCUCUGCUGCCGGUUCCGGGAAAGAACUUUGUGAGGCUGUACGUCCGCAGCAAUCCAGAUCUCUACGGCCCCUUUUGGAUAUGUGCCACGUUGGUCUUUGCCAUAGCAAUUAGUGGGAACCUUUCUAACUUCUUAAUCCAUCUGGGAGAAAAGACAUACCAUUAUGUGCCCGAAUUCCAGAAAGUGUCUAUCGCGGCGACUGUCAUCUACGCCUAUGCUUGGCUGGUCCCUCUGGCCCUCUGGGGCUUCCUCCUGUGGAGAAACAGCAAAGUGAUGAGCAUGGUUUCCUAUUCCUUUCUGGAGAUCGUGUGCGUCUAUGGCUACUCGCUCUUCAUCUAUAUCCCCACAGCAGUCCUGUGGAUCAUUCCCCAGAGAAUUGUUCGUUGGGUCCUUGUCAUGAUUGCCCUGGGCAUCUCAGGCUCUGUGUUGGCAAUGACAUUCUGGCCAGCUGUUCGUGAGGAUAACCGGCGUGUCGCCUUGGCCACCAUUGUGACAAUCGUGUUGCUUCAUGUGCUGCUGUCUGUGGGCUGCUUGGCUUACUUCUUUGAUGCUCCAGAGAUGGACCACCUCCCAGCAGCUAUAACCACUCCCAACCAGACAGUAGCAGCGGCCAAAUCCAGCUAACGGGGAAAGCAGGUGGUGGCCUUUCAUCUGGAGUGGUAUGUCACAAAUGGGAAGCUCUCUAACUGCUGAGGAGAUAUGGCUCUUCUGGACACAGCAUCCACUACUGGAAUGCAGAAUGGCCAGCAUCGGCAGGAAAAUGGUUGUCCUGGCACUGAAGCCUCAUCACCCAUUUAUCAAGAAUGAAGUGUUGGUCUGGGGUUGUUAGGCACGUGAUAGAACACUUGCCUCGCAUGUGUGGGGCCCUGAAAGUAAAGUGCAGUGGUGAUGCCUAGAGUGUGUCCUUCAGUUCUUUCCUCCUGCAUUCUGAU